This is a long non-coding RNA of Callithrix jacchus (white-tufted-ear marmoset), 497 nucleotides long. RefSeq lists it as uncharacterized. Lineage: Eukaryota; Metazoa; Chordata; Mammalia; Primates; Cebidae. The record is from RefSeq and is a predicted model, not a curated record.
GGAGCAGCUUUUCUGUAAGACAAUGUUAAUUGUUACUGGAAUUUUACCCUUAAACUUGGCACCACCUCACAAGUGAAUGUUUCUCAACAUUUAUAGACAACGAAAUACUUUCAAACUGGCCAAGUGAGAUACAUGGAAAUUUUGAAGGGCCUGGGAUCUUCACGCCAUGGAUUAUCUCAACACAUCAGUUUCAGUCAAAAAGUAUUCUUCACUGACUCCAGUGAGAUAUCUUUAAAGGUGAAGGAACAAAUCACAUGAAAAAAUGAACAAAAAUGAAACCAGCCAAGACCAGGGCCCCAAGAAGUUGACGGCAGGCAGUAAUCCAGGAGUGACGGAAAAAGGCGUGGAGAUCAAAAAGCAAGUCUCAACAAAGAACAUCUGCUCGUUUCUUACAACUCACCUGUGGUUGCUCUGAAGUGGCUUCAGGAUGUGCUCCAUUUGUGACACUUGUGACACUUAAAGGAGAUACUUCAACUGUGACAUCAUCUAGGCCUGGG